CAACCCCUGUUGCUAGUUAGAAUCUAGCGAGACUGCCGAGCAAACUCGAGGAAGCGGGGAUGACGUCAAGUCAGCACGGCCCUUACGUCCUGGGCUACACACACGCUACAAUGGGUGGUACAAAGGGUAGCGAAGGGGUGACCUGGAGCCAAUCCCAACAAAGCCAUCCCCAGUUCAGAUUGCAGGCUGCAACUCGCCUGCAUGAAGUCGGAGUUGCUAGUAACCGUGGGUCAGCACACCGCGGUGAAUAUGUUCCCGGGCCUU
Molecule: ribosomal RNA, 264 nt
Filed under: uncultured Chloroflexota bacterium
Lineage: Bacteria; Bacillati; Chloroflexota
Description: uncultured Chloroflexi bacterium partial 16S ribosomal RNA
Rfam family: Bacterial small subunit ribosomal RNA
Source: RNAcentral